CUAAGCUUGACAUCCUUUUGACCGAUGCCUAAUCGCAUCUUUCCCUUCGGGGACAAAAGUGACAGGUGGUGCAUGGUUGUCGUCAGCUCGUGUCGUGAGAUGUUGGGUUAAGUCCCGCAACGGGCGCAACCCUUGUCUUCAGUUACCAUCAUUAAGUUGGGGACUCUGGAGAGACUGCCGGUGAUAAACCGGAGGAAGGUGGGGAUGACGUCAAAUCAUCAUGCCCCUUAUGGCCUGGGCUACACACGUACUACAAUGGCGUAUACAACAAGAUGCAAUACCGUAAGGUGGAGCUAAUCUAUUAAAAUACGUCUCAGUUCGGAUUGAGGUCUGCAACUCGACCUCAUGAAGUUGGAAUCGCUAGUAAUCGCAGAUCAGCAUGCUGCGGUGAAUACGUUCUC
RNAcentral lists this ribosomal RNA (401 nucleotides) under uncultured bacterium. RNAcentral's name for it is "bacterial SSU rRNA". It matches the Rfam family "Bacterial small subunit ribosomal RNA", at positions 974 to 1375 of the family's 1533-position model. The record is from RNAcentral.